AAUCUUCCACAAUGGGCGAAAGCGUGAUGGAGCAACGCCGCGUGAGUGAAGAAGGUUUUCUGAUCGUAAAACUCUUUUGUAAGGGAAGAACAAGUACAGUAGUAACUGACUGUACCUUGACGGUACCUUAUGAGAAAGCCACGGCCACCUACGUGCCAGCAGCCGCGGUAAUACGUAGGUGGCAAGCGUUUUCCGGAAUUAUUGGGCCUAAAGCGCGCGCAGGCGGUCCUUUAAGUCUGAUGUGAAAGCCCACGGCUCAACCGUGGAGGGUCAUUGGAAACUGGGGGACUUGAGUGCAGAAGAGGAAAGUGGAAUUCCAAGUGUAGCGGUGAAAUGCGUAGAGAUUUGGAGGAACACCAGUGGCGAAGGCGACUUUCUGGUCUGUAACUGACGCUGAGGCGCGAAAGCGUGGGGAGCAAACAGG
Molecule: ribosomal RNA, 424 nt
Filed under: uncultured bacterium
Lineage: Bacteria
Description: partial 16S ribosomal RNA
Rfam family: Bacterial small subunit ribosomal RNA
Source: RNAcentral